GGAGCUGAUGCCCAGGGAAACUGGAAGGUUCCUUCUGGAGCAACCAUCUGAUCCAAAGAAGCUGUUUGUGGUUACUGACCUUUGGUGGACCCCAAUACAAUGAAUCUAAUGGAGAAUAUAUAGUCCAUCAAAAUCAGCAGGGAAACCAACAAGAUGGUAUCCAAUGUAGGAGAAAUCUAAGGGUAACCCCGAUAGAGUAAUGACGCAGCCCUGGGUAACAGAUCUGAAAGGCCCAGAGGAAACAAAUCCAGACGGAGAUGCUGCAGGGACCCAAGAUGGUUAUUUCUGUGGGGAGGAAAGAGAGAAAAUUGUCUUCCGGGUUUAAAAGUAUAGAAUGUUGUACUGACGGAUUUUACAGACAUUUGAAGAUGUGGGGGAUUUAAACUUAGGUCCAAAGAGAACAAAGCAAAUG
Long non-coding RNA from Pipistrellus kuhlii (Kuhl's pipistrelle), 412 nucleotides. RefSeq lists it as uncharacterized. The transcript has 2 exons. Lineage: Eukaryota; Metazoa; Chordata; Mammalia; Chiroptera; Vespertilionidae. The record is from RefSeq and is a predicted model, not a curated record.